GGAGGGCGCAAGCGUUGUUCGGAAUUACUGGGGCGUAAAGCGCGUGUAGGCGGUUUGGAAAGUCGGAUGUGAAAUCCCCCGGGCUCAACCCCCGGGAACUGCAUUCGAAACUUCUAGGCUAGAGUCCCGGAGGGGAAGGCAGAAUUCCCAGUGUAGGGGUGAAAUCCGUAGAUAUUGGGAGGAAUACCAGGGGCGAAGGCGGCCUUCUGGACGGUGACUGACGCUGAGACGCGAAAGCGUGGGGAGCAAACAGGAUUAGAUACCCUGGUAGUCCACGCCGUAAACGGUGCGUACUAGGUGUCGGGGGUAUUCACCCCUCCGGUGCCGGAGGUAACCUUUUAAGUACGCCGCCUGGGGAGUACGGCCGCAAGGCUA
RNAcentral lists this ribosomal RNA (375 nucleotides) under uncultured organism. RNAcentral's name for it is "partial 16S ribosomal RNA". It matches the Rfam family "Bacterial small subunit ribosomal RNA", at positions 527 to 896 of the family's 1533-position model. The record is from RNAcentral.